CCCAAGAAUACACCUUGUCUUUGCUCUCAUAUCUCCGUCAACAGCUUUAUGUUCCUGAUUUGGAUUUCAAUUCAAAUUCAAAUUCAUAAUAAGAACAUGCUUAUCUCUCUAAACACCUCUUUCAUCUCUUCCCUCCAACAUCUACCAAAGGUUUCAACCAAAUCAUUUCAUCGCAGUCCUCUUCGUAUCAAUCCUCACCAUUAUCAGGUUUCUAAAACCAAUCAACAAUGAGCUAUUGUUUCCAGAAGAAAAAAGAAAGAAUCAGACUUGUUGAUCUUCCUUGUAGAUUCCUACUUGUUUUGACUUGGAGAUGGCUUAUUUCCUUGCUCAGCAACCGUCUUGGUUCUGCCACAAAUUCUCAAAUCUUGCUCAAUAUGGUAUAUUUUAUUUAGACCCUUUGGAAAGAUUUCUCAUGAUUUAUAGUUGUUGGUUCUGGAUUAGAUUAAAGGUGACUUGGUUUGCUAGUGCUGGUCUAUUGUACAGACGUGAUCAGCCUCAUUAUAGAAAGGUUUGGUGGCUUGUGGAUUUUUAGAAAUUCCAUUUGAACUCUUGGAGAGGUAUAGAGUUUGAUGGU
This is a long non-coding RNA of Cynara cardunculus var. scolymus (artichoke), 574 nucleotides long. RefSeq lists it as uncharacterized. The record is from RefSeq and is a predicted model, not a curated record. Lineage: Eukaryota; Viridiplantae; Streptophyta; Magnoliopsida; Asterales; Asteraceae. The transcript has 3 exons.